This 256-nucleotide long non-coding RNA is filed under the name Lathyrus oleraceus (garden pea). Its description in RNAcentral is "Pisum sativum (pea) long non-coding RNA (PSAT_LNC031007)". Lineage: Eukaryota; Viridiplantae; Streptophyta; Magnoliopsida; Fabales; Fabaceae. The record is from RNAcentral.
AAAGUUCUGAUUCAGAGGAUGAUGUCGAAGACGAUGUCCCAAACAUCUCUCCUGCCAAAAAGCAAACUGUUAGAAAAUCUCCUGCCAAGGUUGUUGCUGUGCAUUUGGAUAACAUUUCCUUCCAUCUGGAAGAUGGUGCAGCCAAGUGGAAAUUUGUGAUACAGAGGAGAGUUGUUGUGGAAAGGGAGCUAGGGAAGGAGGUUGUGGAAGUAAAGGAGGUUAUGAAGUUGAUCAAGUCUGUUGGUCUAAUGAAAAC